This 465-nucleotide ribosomal RNA is filed under the name uncultured bacterium. Its description in RNAcentral is "bacterial SSU rRNA". It matches the Rfam family "Bacterial small subunit ribosomal RNA", at positions 338 to 795 of the family's 1533-position model. The record is from RNAcentral.
CCUACGGGCUGCAGCAGUGGGGAAUAUUGCACAAUGGGCGCAAGCCUGAUGCAGCCAUGCCGCGUGUAUGAAGAAGGCCUUCGGGUUGUAAAGUACUUUCAGCGGGGAGGAAGGCGAUAAGGUUAAUAACCUCAUCGAUUGACGUUACCCGCAGAAGAAGCACCGGCUAACUCCGUGCCAGCAGCCGCGAUAAUACGGAGGGUGCAAGCGUUAAUCGGAAUUACUGGGCGUAAAGCGCACGCAGGCGGUCUGUCAAGUCGGAUGUGAAAUCCCCGGGCUCAACCUGGGAACUGCAUUCGAAACUGGCAGGCUAGAGUCUUGUAGAGGGGGGUAGAAUUCCAGGUGUAGCGGUGAAAUGCGUAGAGAUCUGGAGGAGUACCGGUGGCGAAGGCGGCCCCCUGGACAAAGACUGACGCUCAGGUGCGAAAGCGUGGGGAGCAAACAGGAUUAGAUACCCUUGUAGUC